Cordylochernes scorpioides is the source of this 74-nucleotide non-coding RNA. Lineage: Eukaryota; Metazoa; Arthropoda; Arachnida; Pseudoscorpiones; Chernetidae. The record is from the annotation of a GenBank genome assembly.
GGGAUGGGAUGGGAAUCGAACCCACGACCUUCCGCUUACCGGGCAGAUGCCAUGACCACUAGGCUACCCUGGAC